GUUCUAGGGGGAGCCAAAGAUAACCGUAAAAUCCACAUAUUUAAAAGUCUUAUAACUUUUUAUUUUUGUCCCCACUGGCCUCCAAGUUUUCUAGGAUGAUGCAAUGUCCAGCCAUCAACACAUUUGUGAAGGAAUUUUUACUCGCCAAAAGAGCGCCCCCCCAUGGCAGGAGAAAAAAGUCAAUUUUUUCUUGUCCACUAAGGUGAAAAUACACAUUGUUGAGUGCUACGCCUGUAUGUUUUGUCGUAUUGACACAAAAUUUUACAUACACGUGUCUUUCAAUAAGAUCUUCGAAAAAGUCAAUGGCCACGUAUCUGUAAAAUGUACGGUUAAAGGGUUAUUUCGCAUUUUUUGCAGAUUCGCACACAUUGGAAUUUCGCUAACUCCUCCGAAGGCUUUCGUUCCACCGGCACCACAUUUGCUCAGGCCAAUCUACACCCCAUGGCCAUUAAAAGUUAUUCAAAUCAUGACGCUGCACCCCACGGUUUAGAUUCUAGGGGGCGCCAAAGAUAACCCUAAAAUCCACAUAUUUAAAAGUCUUAUAACUUUUUAUUUUUGUCCUCACUGGCCUCCAUGUUUUCUAGGAUGAUGCAAUGUCCAGCCAUCAACACAUUUGUGAAGGAGUUUUUUCUCGUUAAAAGAGCGCCCCCCCCGGCAGGAGAAUAAAGUCAAGUUUUUCCUGUUCAUCAUUCAAUGGCUCAAACGCACUGCUCUCUCGGCAAAAGCGAAAGGAGGAGCAACUUGCCAUUUGGAUAUAUCUUAGCUGUGUUUGUGCCCUCACUCAUGGUCCAGACUUUUUUCAAAUAGGACAUGGAGUUUUUCUGCAGCGAGCGUUUUGGUAGAAACUGCGCCUCCCGUUCAUUAUAAUGGUAAAUGACCACAAACAAGUGCGCACACCAUCUUUGGACCUUGAGUGUGACGCGAUCGGGUGGGGGAGGCGGUCGCGCUGGGGGCGGCGUGACACGGCUCGGGCCCGCCAGUGCCCCAACGGGGCCCUAGUUCUUCUUUUUCCUCCCCUUUGAACUGGAAAAUGGCCCACUUCCCACUGGCGAAAACUCAUGAAAUUUGGCAGGACGACCGGGCCUGGUGAAAAAUUCGAUAUUCUGAAGUCGCCCAAACAAUAAAAUGCAAAAUGGCUCCAUAGCGCCCCCUAAGGUGGAAAUUCACACUAUUGACUGUCACGUCUGUACGCUUUGUCAUAUUGACACAAAAAUUGACACACAUAUGUAUCUCAAUAAGAUCUACAAAAAAGUCAGUGCGGCCGUAUCUGUCAAAAUUACGGUUAAAGGGUUAUUUCGCAUUUUUUGCCGAUCCGCACACAUUGGAAUUUCGCUAACUCCUCCGAAGGCUUUCGUUCCACCGGCACCACAUUUGCUCAGGCCAAUCUACACCCCGUGGCCAUUAAAAGUUAUCAAAAUCAUGACGCUGCACCCCAAGGUUUAGGUUCUAGGGGGCGCCAAAGAUAACACUAAAAUCCACAUAUUUAAAAGUCUUAUAACUUUUUAUUUUUGUCCUCACUGGCCUCCAAGUUUUCUAGGAUGAUGCAAUGUCCAGCCAUCAACACAUUUGUGAAGGAAUUUUUACUCCCCAAAAGAGCGCCCCCCAUGGCAGGAGAAAAAAGUCCAUUUUUUCUUGUCCCCUAAGGUGAAAAUACACAUUGUUGAGUGUCAAGCCUAUACGCUUUGUCAAAAUGACACAAAAUUUGACACACACAUGUAACUCAAUAAGAUCUACAAAAAAGUCCAUGCGCGCGUAUCUGUCAAAUGUACAGUUAAAGGGUUAAUCCGCAUUUUUUGCCGAUACGCACACAUUGGAAUUUCGCUAACUCCUCCGAAGGCUUUCGUUCCACCGGCACCACAUUUGCUCAGGCCAAUCUACACCCCAUGGCCAUUAAAAGUUAUUCAAAUCAUGAUGCUGCACCCCAUGGUUUAGGUUCUAGGGGGCGCCAAAAAUAACCCAAAAAUCCACAUUCUUAAAUGUUUUAUAACUUUUUAUUUUUGUCCUCACUGGCCUCCAAGUUUUCUAGGAUGAUGCAAUGUCCAGCCAUCAACACAUUUGUGAAGGAAUUUUUACUCCCCAAAAGAGCGCCCCCCCAUGGUAGGAGAAAAAAGUCAAUUUUUUCUUGUCCCCUUACAUAAAAAUACACAUUGUUGAGUGUCACGCCUGAACGCUUUGUCAUAUUGACACAAAAAUUGACAAUCAUGUGUAUCUCAAUUAGAUCUACGAAAAAGUCAAAGAGCGCGUAUCUGUAUAAUGUACGGUUAAAGGGCUAUUUUGCAUUUUUUGCCGAUUCGCACACAUUGGAAUGUGGCUAUCUCCUCCUAAGGCUUUCGUCCCACCGAUACCAAAUUUGCUCAGGGCAAUCUACACCCCAUGCCCAUUCAAAGUUGUAAAAAUCAUGACGCUGCACCCCACGGUUUACGUUCUAGGGGGCGCCAAAGAUGACCCAAAAAUCCACAUUCUUAAAAGUCAUUUUGGCCACUGCAGGAGUACAGAGUACUGCAGUUCUAGGGGGCGCCAAAGAUGACCCAAAAAUCCACAUUCUUAAAAGUCUUUUUGGCCACUGCAGGAGUACAGAGUACUGCAGGAUACACACACAUAUACACACACGCCAACAUACACACACACACACACACACACACACACACACACACACAGACACACACCCACACUCAGAGUCUGGUUUUUAGCACCUGCAAAAACAUGCUGUUUACAUAUUUGACAAGAAUGCAGAGGCUUCCUUUUGCCCCUGAAAAAAAUCAAAUUUCAAACACAACUUGACUGUUCAUUUCUCCAAAAGACAACCAUGAAGCUCCAUUUCAAACCUGAAGCAGAUAGUUGGUGCAUGUGUACAGUAACCUGAGGGGAGUGAGGUGACUAUUUCUGAGGAGAACAUGAGCAGUGAAGAUUCACCUUGGAGCUAGAACAGGGACGUGCACAUGAUUAUACAGGGGCAGGGGCUCAAGUUUUUUCCAGUCAUUUAUACAAUAUGGAAAUUAAUGUGAAAUUAAACUACAAAUAUGUGUGAUGAACUGUUUUUAAAACUUAAACUUCAAAUAAAAAUUGUAAACUUCAAAACAUAUGCAAAUUUUUAACAAAGAACAUAGUAAUUUACCUCUAUUUACAUCAAAAUGCAGGCAAUGGCCCAGGCGUUCUUUGUAAAAUUAUUUACAAAACACUGUAUAGUCUCACAAAUGUCACUUUUUAUUUAUGCCACUACAAAAAAACAUGAUGUAAAUGAUGCAUGAUGUAAAACAUGAUGUAAAAAACUUGUGUAGAUCCUCCUCUAUGUCAGUCCAUGUGUAAUUUUUCCAUAAUUCUUUGUUUUUUGCAGCAUUUUUGUUAGUGUAACUGCAGAUUGUGCUGACAGUGUCUAUGGCACAAAAAAAAAAAAAAUUUUUUAAUGCCUCAACAUGAACCCGUGGUGGUCUCUGAGGGUGAAACCUGCUAACUGCUGCAGCUCUGUCAGCUUCAGUCUCCCAUGCAGAGCUCUGAGCGCAUGUGUGGCUCUGCACCCUUAGCAGCGUUGCUAACUCCUCAGUAUGGAAAGCCUGCUUCAUGUCAGAGUCUCUAAACUCCAGAAGAAGUCGAUAAAAGUCCCUUUCUUUCUAAAAAAAAGUCGUUAGGGGGUCUGAAAAGUCAUUGAAUCUAACAACAAAGUCGCUAGGUUUGCAACUACGUGUCCCAGACUGCAUCCCUGCUGAGAGUCCCUCCCUCCCUUCUCAUGUUGCAGGAAGAACGUAAGCGCCCCCCUUGUCAAUCAGUCACCAUAUAAUUUUGGAUUGGUUGUUGUGGUGAAGUUUUCCACCAAUAGGAGAGAUGUUGUGGUGUGUUUUUUUUUUCUUUUGGCAAGCCUUUUCCGCCUGUAAGAACUGUCGCUAAUGUCUGCAUGCUAUGUUUUCCUGUCUCAUACAGCGCGAUCGAGCGCCGAACGUGAUCAAAAUAAGCAGAAAAAAAAUAUCGCGGACAUAAUUUAUCAUAACUCUGGUUUUAUUUGGCCUAUCAACACAAUUUAAAAACUGGUAUAUAGGUUGAGGUCCUCACUUUUGAGAUAAGUUGAAACGGAGAGUCAACGAGGCUCCGUCUUGCAGCUACAUCCGGUUAAAUAUGUCAUGUGACUUGAACGCACACACAGACACACACACACACACACACACACACACACACACACACACACACACACACACACUCAGAGUCUGGUUUUUAGCACCUGCAAAAACAUGCUAUUUACAUAUUUGACAAGAAUGCAGAGGCUCCUUUUGCCCCUGAAAAAAAUCAAAUUUCAAACACAACUUGACUGGUCAUUUCUCCAAAAGACAACCAUGAAGCUCCAUCCAAACCUGAAGCAGGCAGUUGGUGCAUGUGUACAGUAACCUGAGGGGAGUGAGGUGAGUGCUUCUGAGGAGAACAUGAGCAGUGAAGAUUCACCUUGGAGCUAGAACAGAGACAUGCACAUGAUUAUACAGGGGCAGGGGCUCAAGUUUUUUCCAGUCGUUUAUACAAUAUGGAAAUUAAUGUGAAAUUAAAACACAAAGUAUUAAUAGAAAGGUAAUGACUGUCCUGUGUAGGUGACAGUGAUAUCCAAUAGGCUAGGCACUCACGAGGCUGGCUGUGGCAAGUGUAAGUGAAAGCAACACGCACUGGCAGGAAGAACAGCAAACGCCGAUGAAGGAAAAGGGUCUUUGCAGUGAUGGGCGUUACCAGAGAGGGCGAUGGCCAGAGGACACAAAUGGGACGGGGAGGCAGCACGUUGGGGGGGGGGGGGGGGGGGACGCGACACGGCUCGGGCCCGCCAGUGCCCCAACGGGGUCCUAGUUAGGGCCCGAGCGUAGCUGCUAAGCAGCUGCGAGAGCCCUCUUGUUCCUGUAGUUUCCUUCUUUUGUUAUUAGGGCCCGAGCGUAGCUGCUAAGCAGCUGCGAGAGCCCUAUUAUUCCCCAAGGGGUUUUUCUUUGUUUCUUUCUUUCUUCUUUUUCCUCCCCUUUGAACUGGAAAAUGGCCCACUUCCCACUGGCAAAAACUCAUGAAAUUUGGCAGGAUGACCGGGCCUGGUGAAAAAUUUGAUAUUCCGAAGUCGCCCAAACAAGAAAAUGCAAAAUGGCUCCAUAGCGCCCCCUAAGGUGAAAAUUCACACUAUUGACUGUCACGCCUUUACGCUUUGUCAAAAUGACACAAAAAUUGACAAACAUAUGUAUCUCAAUAAGAUCUACAAAAAAGUCAGUGCGGGCGUAUCUGUCAAAUGUACGGUUAAAGGGUUAUUCCGCAUUUUUUGCCGAUCCGCACACAUUGGAAUUUCGCUAACUCCUCCGAAGGCUUUCUUUCCACCGGCACCACAUUUGCUCAGGCCAAUCUACACCCCAUGGCCAUUAAAAGUUAUUCAAAUCAUGACGCUGCACCCCACGGUUUAGGUUCUAGGGGGCGCCAAAGAUAACCCUAAAAUCCACAUAUUUCAAAGUCUUAUAACUUUUUAUUUUUGCCCUCACUGGCCUCCAAGUUUUCUAGGAUGAUGCAAUGUCCAGCCAUUAACACAUUUGUGAAGGAAUUUUUACUCCCCAAAAGAGCGCCCCCCCAUGGCCGGAGAAAAAAGUCCAUUUUUUCUUGUCCCCUAAGGUGAAAAUACACAUUGUUGAGUGUCACGCCUGUACGCUUUGUCAUAUUGACACAAAAUUUGACACACACAUGUAUCUCAAUAAAAUCUACGAAAAAGUCAAUGCGCGCGUAUCUGUCAAAUGUACGGUUAAAGGGUUAUUCCGCAUUUUUUGCUGAUCCGCACACAUUGGAAUUUCGCUAACUCCUCCUAAGGCUGGCGUUCCACCGGCACCACAUUUGCUCAGGCCAAUCUACACCCCAUGGCCAUUAAAAGUUAUUCAAAUCAUGAUGCUGCACCCCACGGUUUAGGUUCUAGGGGGCGCCAAAGAUAACCCUAAAAUCCACAUAUUUCAAAGUCUUAUAACUUUUUAUUUUUGUCCUCACUGGCCUCCAAGUUUUCUAGGAUGAUGCAAUGUCCAGCCAUCAACACAUUUGUGAAGGAAUUUUUACUCCCCAAAAGAGCGCCCCCCCAUGGCAGGAGAAAAAAGUCAGUUUUUUCUUGUCCCGUAAGGUGAAAAUUCACAUUGUUGAGUGUGACACCUGUACGCUUUGUCAUAUUGACACAAAAUUUGACAAUCACGUGUAUCUCAAUAAGAUCUACGAAAAAGUCAAAGCGCGCGUAUCUGUCAAAUGUACGGUUAAAGGGUUAUUCCGCAUUUUUUGACGAUCCGCACACAUUGGAAUGUGGCUAACUCCUCCUAAGGCUUUCGUUCCACCGGCACCACAUUUGCUCAGGCCAAUCUACACCCCAUGGCCAUUAAAAGUUAUUCAAAUCAUGACGCUGCACCCCACGGUUUAGGUUCUAGGGGGCGCCAAAGAUAACCCUAAAAUCCACAUAUUUAAAAGUCUUAUAACUUUUUAUUUUUGUCCUCACUGGCCUCCAAGUUUUCUAGGAUGAUGCAAUGUCCAGCCAUCAACACAUUUGUGAAGGAAUUUUUACUCCCCAAAAGAGCGCCCCCCCAUGGCAGGAGAAAAAAGUCCAUUUUUUCUUGUCGCCUAAGGUGAAAAUUCACAUUGUUGAGUGUGACACCUGUACGCUUUGUCAUAUUGACACAAAAUUUGACAAUCACGUGUAUCUCAAUAAGAUCUACGAAAAAGUCAAUGCGCGCGUAUCUGUCAAAUGUACGGUUAAAGGGCUAUUUUGCAUUUUUUGCCGAUUCGCACACAUUGGAAUGUGGCUAACUCCUCCUAAGGCUUUCGUCCCACUGACACCAAAUUUGCUCAGGCCAAUCUACACCCCAUGGCCAUUCAAAGUUGUAAAAAUCAUGACGCUGCACCCCACGGCUCACGUUCUAGGGGGCGCCAAAGAUGACCAAAAAAUCCACAUUCUUAAAAGAAUCCACAUCCCCCCCCCCCCACACCCCCCCAAGGCAGGAGAAAAAGUCAAGUUUUUCCUGCCCAUCGCUCAAUGGCUCAAUCGCAUCGCUCUCCCGGCAACACCGUAAGGAGGAGCAACCUGCCAUUUGGAUAUAUCCUAGCUGUGUUUGUGCCCUCACUCAUGGUCCAGACUUUUUUCAAAUAGGACAUGAAGUUUGUCUGCAGCGAGUGUUUUGGUAGAAACUGCGCCUCUCCUUCAUUAUAAUGGGAAAUGACCACAGAAAAGUACGCACACCAUCUUUGGACCUUGAGUGUGACGCGAUCGGGAGGGGGAGGCGGUCGCGCUGGGGGCGGCGCGACGCGGCUCGGGCCCGACAGUGCCCCACCGGGGCCCUAGUUAUUAUUAUUAUUUUUCCUCCCCUUUGAACUGGAAAAUGGCCCACUUCCCACUGGCGAAAACUCAUGAAAUUUGGCAGGACGACCGGGCCUGGUGAAAAAUUUGAUAUUCUGAAGUCGCCCAAACAAGAAAAUGCAAAAUGGCUCCAUAGCGCCCCCUAAGGUGAAAAUUCACACUAUUGACUGUCACGCCGGUACGCUUUGUCAAAAUGACACAAAAAUUGACACACACAUGUAUCUCAAUAAGAUCUACAAAAAAGUCAGUGCGGGCGUAUCUGUCAAAUGUACGGUUAAAGGGUUAUUUCGCAUUUUUUGCCGAUCCGCACACAUUGGAAUUUCGCUAACUCCUCCGAAGGCUUUCGUUCCACCGGCACCACAUUUGCUCAGGCCAAUCUACACCCCAUGGCCAUUAAAAGUUAUUCAAAUCAUGACGCUGCACCCCACGGUUUAGGUUCUAGGGGGCGCCAAAGAUAACCCUAAGAUCCACAUAUUUAAAAGUCUUAUAACUUUUUAUUUUUGCCCUCACUGGCCUCCAAGUUUUCUAGGAUGAUGCAAUGUCCAGCCAUCAACACAUUUGUGAAGGAAUUUUUACUCCCCAAAAGAGCGCCCCCCAUGGCAGGAGAAAAAAGUCCAUUUUUUCUUGUCCCCUAAGGUGAAAAUACACAUUGUUGAGUGUAACACCUGUACGCUUUGGCAAAAUGACACAAAAAUUGACACACACAUGUAUCUCAAUAAGAUCUACGAAAAAGUCAAUGCGCGCGUAUCUGUCAAAUGUACGGUUAAAGGGUUAUUCCGCAUUUUAUGCCGAUCCGCACACAUUGGAAUUUCGCUAACUCCUCCGAAGGCUUUCGUUCCACCGGCACCACAUUUGCUCAGGCCAAUCUACACCCCAUGGCCAUUAAAAGUUAUUCAAAUCAUGACGCUGCACCCCACGGUUUAGGUUCUAGGGGGAGCCAAAGAUAACCGUAAAAUCCACAUAUUUAAAAGUCUUAUAACUUUUUAUUUUUGUCCCCACUGGCCUCCAAGUUUUCUAGGAUGAUGCAAUGUCCAGCCAUCAACACAUUUGUGAAGGAAUUUUUACUCGGCAAAAGAGCGCCCCCCCAUGGCAGGAGAAAAAAGGAAAUUUUUUCUUGUCCACUAAGGUGAAAAUACACAUUGUUGAGUGCUACGCCUGUAUGUUUUGUCGUAUUGACACAAAAUUUUACAUACACGUGUAUUUACAUAAGAUCUUCGAAAAAGUCAAUGGCCACGUAUCUGUAAAAUGUACGGUUAAAGGGUUAUUUCGCAUUUUUUGCAGAUUCGCACACAUUGGAAUUUCGCUAAUUCCUCCGAAGGCUUUCGUUCCACCGGCACCACAUUUGCUCAGGCCAAUCUACACCCCAUGGCCAUUAAAAGUUAUUCAAAUCAUGACGCUGCACCCCACGGUUUAGGUUCUAGGGGGCGCCAAAUAUAACCCUAAAAUCCACAUAUUUAAAAGUCUUAUAACUUUUUAUUUUUGUCCUCACUGGCCUCCAUGUUUUCUAGGAUGAUGCAAUGUCCAGCCAUCAACACAUUUGUGAAGGAGUUUUUUCUCUUUAAAAGAGCGCCCCCCAUGGCAGGAGAAUAAAGUCAAGUUUUUCCUGUUCAUCAUUCAAUGGCUCAAACGCACUGCUCUCUCGGCAAAAGCGAAAGGAGGAGCAACUUGCCAUUUGGAUAUAUCUUAGCUGUGUUUGUGCCCUCACUCAUGGUCCAGACUUUUUUCAAAUAGGACAUGGAGUUUUUCUGCAGCGAGCGUUUUGGUAGAAACUGCGCCUCCCGUUCAUUAUAAUGGUAAAUGACCACAAACAAGUGCGCACACCAUCUUUGGACCUUGAGUGUGACGCGAUCGGGUGGGGGAGGCGGUCGCGCUGGGGGCGGCGUGACACGGCUCGGGCCCGCCAGUGCCCCAACGGGGCCCUAGUUAGGGCCCGAGCGUAGCUGCUAAGCAGCUGCGAGAGCCCUCUUGUUCCUGUAGUUUCCUUCUUUU
Non-coding RNA from Xyrichtys novacula (pearly razorfish), 9304 nucleotides. The record is from the annotation of a GenBank genome assembly. Lineage: Eukaryota; Metazoa; Chordata; Actinopteri; Labriformes; Labridae.